This 505-nucleotide ribosomal RNA is filed under the name uncultured bacterium. RNAcentral describes it as "partial 16S ribosomal RNA". It matches the Rfam family "Bacterial small subunit ribosomal RNA", at positions 29 to 523 of the family's 1533-position model. The record is from RNAcentral.
AGUGAACGCUGGCGGUAGGCCUAACACAUGCAAGUCGAACGGCAGCACAGGAGAGCUUGCUCUCUGGGUGGCGAGUGGCGGACGGGUGAGGAAUACAUCGGAAUCUACUUUUUCGUGGGGGAUAACGUAGGGAAAUUUACGCUAAUACCGCAUACGACCUACGGGUGAAAGCAGGGGAUCUUCGGACCUUGCGCGAUUGAAUGAGCCGAUGUCGGAUUAGCUAGUUGGCGGGGUAAAGGCCCAGCAAGGCGACGAUCCGUAGCUGGUCUGAGAGGAUGAUCAGCCACACUGGAACUGAGACACGGUCCAGACUCCGACGGGAGGCAGCAGUGGGAAUAUUGGACAAUGGGCGCAAGCCUGAUCCAGCCAUACCGCGUGGGUGAAGAAGGCCUUAGGGUUGUAAAGCCCUUUUGUUGGGAAAGAAAUCCAGCUGGUUAAUACCCGGUUGGGAUGGCGGUACCCAAAGAAUAAGCACCGGCUAACUUCGUGCCAGCCGCCGCGGUAA